GCCAGCGGCGAUAUGUUGAAUGCACCGGUUCCCAAUGGAUCAUUGAAGUUGAGCAACGUUGGGCGUCUUUGGUAUCCGGAUGGGUUACCUUUUGGGCAAUAGUGAGUUGCUGAAU
Molecule: ribosomal RNA, 115 nt
Filed under: Diaphorina citri (Asian citrus psyllid)
Lineage: Eukaryota; Metazoa; Arthropoda; Insecta; Hemiptera; Psyllidae
Source: RNAcentral